Molecule: ribosomal RNA, 691 nt
Filed under: uncultured bacterium
Lineage: Bacteria
Description: bacterial SSU rRNA
Rfam family: Bacterial small subunit ribosomal RNA
Source: RNAcentral
AACGCUAGCUACAGGCUUAACACAUGCAAGUCGAGGGGCAGCAUAUUUAUAGCAAUAUAAAUGAUGGCGACCGGCGCACGGGUGAGUAACACGUAUCCAACCUGCCGUUUACUCGGGGAUAGCCUUUCGAAAGAAAGAUUAAUACCCGAUGGUAUAUAUUGAUUUCAUGGUCUUUAUAUUAAAGAAUUUCGGUAAACGAUGGGGAUGCGUUCCAUUAGGCAGUUGGCGGGGUAACGGCCCACCAAACCUACGAUGGAUAGGGGAUCUGAGAGGAAGGUCCCCCACAUUGGAACUGAGACACGGUCCAAACUCCUACGGGAGGCAGCAGUGAGGAAUAUUGGUCAAUGGGCGUAGGCCUGAACCAGCCAAGUAGCGUGAAGGAUGACUGCCCUAUGGGUUGUAAACUUCUUUUAUAAGGGAAUAAAGUGGAGUAUGUAUACUCUUUUGUAUGUACCUUACGAAUAAGGAUCGGCUAACUCCGUGCCAGCAGCCGCGGUAAUACGGAGGAUCCAAGCGUUAUCCGGAUUUAUUGGGUUUAAAGGGAGCGUAGGCGGAUGUUUAAGUCAGUUGUGAAAGUUUAAGGCUCAACCUUGAAAUUGCAGUUGAUACUGGACGUCUUGAGUGCAUUAAAUGUGGGCGGAAUUCGUGGUGUAGCGGUGAAAUGCUUAGAUAUCACGAAGAACUCCGAUUG